UUGUGCUUGAUCUAACCAUGUGGCCCCGCCUAUUGUGAAAUCACAUGGUUCCGUCAAGCGCCAGG
RNAcentral lists this microRNA precursor (65 nucleotides) under Tetraodon nigroviridis (spotted green pufferfish). RNAcentral describes it as "Tni-Mir-218-P4_pre stem-loop". The record is from RNAcentral. Lineage: Eukaryota; Metazoa; Chordata; Actinopteri; Tetraodontiformes; Tetraodontidae.